AAUACAGCUGGUUGAAGAGGUCUGAGUCUCAUCAGCAGUCAAACAUGUCAGACACGGUGGUGUGUGUUAACGAUUAUGAGCUUCAAGCUCAAAGACUUUUGCCAAAGUCAGUGUUUGAUUAUUAUUUCUCAGGAGCAGACGAGCAGGAAACUCUGCGUGAUAAUGUAGCAGCUUUCUCCAGGUGGUGCUUUUACCCUCGUGUGCUCAGAGACGUGUCCGCAGUGGACAUGUCCACCACAGUUCUGGGUCAGAGAGUCAGUAUGCCCAUCUGUGUGGCACCGACCGCCAUGCAGCGAAUGGCCCAUCCCGACGGAGAGACGGCCACUGCCAGAGCCUGCCUGUCCUGCGACACGGGGAUGAUGUUGAGCUCGUGGGCCACCUCCACCAUAGAGGAAGUAGCGGAGGCCGCACCUGGGGCCGUGCGCUGGAUGCAGCUGUACAUUUAUAAAGACCGAGCGCUGACUCAGUCUCUGGUCAGGAGGGCAGAGGAGGCUGGGUAUAAGGGUAUCUUUGUCACAGUGGACACACCUUAUCUUGGCAGGCGACGUGAUGACGUGCGCAACCGAUUUAAGCUGCCCUCUCAUUUGAGGAUGGCCAAUUUCGAAUCCCCUGAUUUAGCAUUCUCCUCAAAAGAGGGUUAUGGGGAGGACAGUGGCCUGGCGGUGUACGUAACUCAGGCCAUAGAUGCCACGGUCAAAUGGGACGACAUCGCCUGGCUGAAGAGACUGACCUCCCUGCCGGUGGUGGUCAAAGGGGUUUUGACAGCUGAAGAUGCCAAAGAAGCUCUGAAGUAUGGCGUGGAUGGAAUACUUGUGUCAAACCACGGAGCAAGACAACUCGAUGGUGUUCCAGCCACCAUUGACGCUUUGCCUGAGGUUGUGGAGGCUGUUGAAGGAAAGGUGGAGGUCUUCAUGGAUGGAGGGAUCCGCAAGGGCACGGAUGUGCUGAAGGCUCUGGCGCUGGGAGCGAAGGCUGUUUUUGUAGGGAGACCUGUCCUGUGGGCACUUGCCUGUGAGGGUGACAAAGGAGUCGCUAAUGUUCUCCAGUUACUGCGAGAGGAACUUCACCUUGCAUUGGCGCUUACCGGAUGUCGCUCACUGAAGGAAGUCAAUAGAUCCCUUUUGAGAAGAUCUGAACUCAUUUCAAGGAUCUAAUGAGCAGAACUACUGCAUGCUGGGGGAUUUCAUGUGUGCCAGUGACUGGACCGACUUGUGUAAUUCAAAUGAACCCAGAGGAUUUGGGCACGACAGAUUUAGCAUCAUGAAUAAAACAUUUGUUAAUAGUCAGUUGGCUGUGAACAGGUUCCCUGCUGUACGUCACUGCAGCGACUUUCUCAUGAAUAUGCAUAAACUCCCUUGACGGGGCCCGAAAGGCAAACAGGUUUGUGAGAGGUUCAGAAAGGUCACACACAAGGCAUGGGAUUUCUUUACUAGCUCUUUCCAUGGCUGAACCACAGGACCUGAAUGAAGCCAUUAUAUGCAUUGACUCUCCACAGGAAAACAAACUUUGUCAGGGCUCUGUUCAUUAGUACCUAACACUUUGUUUGAACCGCCUACUUGUGCAGGGGCCAGAAAGGGGAAGUGAACUCCUGCUGAAAUCAAACAAAACCUACAGUUUAUGAGAUUUUAAGAGGUUUUGCAUUGUUUGCAUGCAACCUGGAUACUUAGAUGAUAAAUAUAGCGGGCCCCAAUUUCACCAUGUAUUUGCAUUAGAUAAAAAAUAUAUAUA
Molecule: RNA transcript, 1728 nt
Organism: Megalobrama amblycephala (Wuchang bream)
Lineage: Eukaryota; Metazoa; Chordata; Actinopteri; Cypriniformes; Xenocyprididae
Gene: hao1
Gene name: hydroxyacid oxidase (glycolate oxidase) 1
Exons: 9
Source: RefSeq, a predicted model, not a curated record